CCUAGGGUGGCUGCAGUGGGGAAUAUUGGACAAUGGGCGAAAGCCUGAUCCAGCCAUGCCGCGUGUGUGAAGAAGGCCUUCGGGUUGUAAAGCACUUUCAGUGGGGAAGAAAGCCUUGGGGCUAAUACCCUCGAGGAAGGACAUCACCCACAGAAGAAGCACCGGCUAACUCCGUGCCAGCAGCCGCGGUAAUACGGAGGGUGCGAGCGUUAAUCGGAAUUACUGGGCGUAAAGCGCGCGUAGGCGGUCUGAUAAGCCGGUUGUGAAAGCCCCGGGCUCAACCUGGGAACGGCAUCCGGAACUGUCAGGCUAGAGUGCAGGAGAGGAAGGUAGAAUUCCCGGUGUAGCGGUGAAAUGCGUAGAGAUCGGGGGGAAUACCAGUGGCGAAGGCGGCCUUCUGGACUGACACUGACGCUGAGGUGCAAAAGCGUGGGUAGCAAACAGGAUUAGAUACCCUUGUAGUC
RNAcentral lists this ribosomal RNA (464 nucleotides) under Vreelandella stevensii. RNAcentral's name for it is "partial 16S ribosomal RNA". It matches the Rfam family "Bacterial small subunit ribosomal RNA", at positions 338 to 795 of the family's 1533-position model. Lineage: Bacteria; Pseudomonadati; Pseudomonadota; Gammaproteobacteria; Oceanospirillales; Halomonadaceae. The record is from RNAcentral.